CCCUUAGAUGUUCUGGGCCGCACGCGUGCUACACUGAGUGGAUCAGCGGGUCAGGUUGCGCGAAAGCGUUUCCUAAUCUUUAAAUCCGCUCGUGAUGGGGAUUGACGGUUGCAAUUUUCUGUCAUGAACGAGGAAUACCUUGUAAGCGCGGGUCAUCAUCCCGCGCUGAAUACGUCCCUGCCCUUUGUACACACCGCCCGUCGCUCCUACCGAUUGAGUGGUCCGGUGAAAUGUUCGGAUCGGCCGUUUGUCGCGGUUUCCGCGGCUCGUGGCUGAGAAGUUCAUUAAACCCUCCCACCUAGAGGAAGGAGAAGUCGUAACA
RNAcentral lists this ribosomal RNA (322 nucleotides) under uncultured eukaryote. Its description in RNAcentral is "partial 18S ribosomal RNA". It matches the Rfam family "Eukaryotic small subunit ribosomal RNA", at positions 1470 to 1796 of the family's 1831-position model. The record is from RNAcentral.